CGGCGGACGGGUGAGUAACGCGUGGGUAACCUACCCUGUACACACGGAUAACAUACCGAAAGGUAUGCUAAUACGGGAUAAUAUAUUUGAGAGGGCAUCUCUUGAAUAUCAAAGGUGAGCCAGUACAGGAUGGACCCGCGUCUGAUUAGCUAGUUGGUAAGGUAACGGCUUACCAAGGCGCGAUCAGUAGCCGACCUGAGAGGGUGAUCGGCCACAUUGGAACUGAGACACGGUCCAA
Molecule: ribosomal RNA, 238 nt
Filed under: uncultured bacterium
Lineage: Bacteria
Description: partial 16S ribosomal RNA
Rfam family: Bacterial small subunit ribosomal RNA
Source: RNAcentral